GACGAACGCUGGCGGCAUGCCUAACACAUGCAAGUCGAACGGAGAUUAUUUCGGUAAUCUUAGUGGCGAACGGGUGAGUAACGCGUGGGCAACCUGCCCUCUAGAUGGGGACAACAUCCCGAAAGGGGUGCUAAUACCGAAUGUGACAGCAAUCUCGCAUGAGGAUGCUGUGAAAGAUGGCCUCUAUUUAUAAGCUAUCGCUAGAGGAUGGGCCUGCGUCUGAUUAGCUAGUUGGUGGGGUAACGGCCUACCAAGGCGAUGAUCAGUAGCCGGUCUGAGAGGAUGCACGGCCACAUUGGGACUGAGACACGGCCCAGACUCCUACGGGAGGCAGCAGUGGGGAAUCUUCCGCAAUGGGCGAAAGCCUGACGGAGCAAUGCCGCGUGAGUGAUGAAGGAAUUCGUUCCGUAAAGCUCUUUUGUUUAUGACGAAUGUGCAGAUUGUGAACAAUGAUCUGUAAUGACGGUAGUAAACGAAUAAGCCACGGCUAACUACGUG
Molecule: ribosomal RNA, 498 nt
Filed under: uncultured bacterium
Lineage: Bacteria
Description: partial 16S ribosomal RNA
Rfam family: Bacterial small subunit ribosomal RNA
Source: RNAcentral